AGUUGCUAUACAUGAAACUGCUAUAUUUCAAUGUGAAAGCAUAUAAACACUUUAAACGAUUAAAUAUCCAGUAAUGAUGUUAUCACAUUAUUUAGCAGAACAUACAAUUAAUUAUUUAUCGUGAAUGUUUAUUACUUAGAUAUUUCAUAGGUAGCAGCCUUUAAUGUGUAUAAAUCUGAUAAUGCGACAUGAGUCGUUCGAUUUUCAGUGAAUACUUAUACUAGAGUCAAUUUGUUAAUUUAAACAAAGUCACAAUGAUUAAUACUAUACGAAAUUUACGAGCCUUUCUUAAGUAUUGGUACUUCCGAUAUACGCUAAUUACUGAAAUGUACAUGUUGGAAAAAUGGGAGAGGAACUUGAUGAAUAUUUUUAUUCUAGUAAUGUUUGCUCUCUUUUUUGUUUUCAAUUACAAAGUAAUACUGCCAAUGACAAACCAUAUUUUACAAAACUAAUUGGAAUUUGGAUUAUUUCUGCAAUGUGAAUAUUAUAUUGUUUCAACAUUCCAAUUAAUUUUUAAUUAUAAGGAAAGGUGAUCAUGUAAAAUAUAUUAAAAAUAUAUUU
This is a long non-coding RNA of Pogonomyrmex barbatus (red harvester ant), 561 nucleotides long. The record is from RefSeq and is a predicted model, not a curated record. NCBI's taxonomy places the organism in Eukaryota, Metazoa, Arthropoda, Insecta, Hymenoptera, Formicidae.